This 2043-nucleotide long non-coding RNA is filed under the name Equus caballus (horse). RNAcentral describes it as "lncRNA (ENSECAG00000050518.1)". The record is from RNAcentral. Lineage: Eukaryota; Metazoa; Chordata; Mammalia; Perissodactyla; Equidae.
GUCACAGUAAGAGUAGCUACCACUUGAAUGGUUUUUAUGCGCUAGGUACUUUAAGUGCCUAAGAGCGUUAUUUAAUGUAAUUCUCACAAUUCUGUGAGUUAGGAACUGUUAGUUUUCCCAUUUUUACAAGUGAGAAACUGAGGCUUGAAGAGGUUGAGUAAUUUGCUCAAAGACACGCUGGCGGAAGUGGGAGAGCUGGAACCUCAACUAGGGAUCGAGCUUUGUAACCUUCACACUCAGCCUCUCUGAGCCUCACUGGCUCCAGUGUGGGACCUCCCAUCAAGGUGGACCCACAUCUAGACUGCGUAUGCAGGCUACCGAAAUACAAGAAUCAACGUGUUUAGAAAGGCAGAUCCUAGACAGGUCUUUAAAAGGAGGAACAUAAGGUGACACAGGAACGGCCAGUCUUGAACCUAACAAAUGUAUCGUGGGCUCCCCUCCAGAGACUCUGCUUCAGGAGAGGCGGGGUGGGGUCCGGGAAUGUUCAGGAGUAACAAGCAUCCCGGUCUCCCCGACGCGGUGGUUUAAGCACCCCGCGUUGAGAUGCGCCACCAGGGAGGUUGCUGUGCCCCGGCAUGGGGACGCUUCAGGAGGAAAGAGGGAGCGGACUCGGCCUGAAUCUCCUGACACCCGUGAAACGCGGGUAAGGAUCGAAGGCAUAAAGGGAACUUGGUAAAUACGAAGGUGUGACGACCCGCUGAAUUAAAAGUCCAGAGAUGCAUCAUCAUCGCGCCUAGUUCCACGGGAACUUGCUGUAGCAGCCGAGAGAGCGAAGCGCCGCGGCGGGACUGCACACGGCAGCAGCGGCGGGGACGCGGCCGUCGCGCUUGCGCAGACUCAGCCGCGUGUCACCGUCUCGGGGCUGUGUCGGUGCUGCCCCGCCCGGGCUGGCAGCCGCGCCUCUGCGGCCGUCGCCAAGCGGGGCCUUUUAGGAGCGAGGCGAGGCCUGGGCCCCUUCUAGUUUUCUGAGGCUUAAAUACGCCAAAAGUGGAGAAAGUCAACCCAGGGUUACCGGAAUAGUGGUGUAUAGAAAAUGUCUGCGUUUAAAAAGUUAAUGCUUUUAACACAAAAGAAUUCAAGAAUGUUUCGUGAUGUCCUUACAAAUCAUCUAUUACUUGUGUGUUGCUAAUUUUGUGCAAAACUGAAAAAAGGAGGUUAAGAGAGGAAAAAACCAGGUUGGAGGUCAGACGGAAACUUUGAAACCAGCAGCUCAGCCCCAGCCGGAUUUGAAAUGGCCAGGAAGAUGAGGGUGAGGGCCAUCAAUGCACUGGCUGCUGCAAUUUCAGCUUUUAGAAUGUUUUGAACAAUAUGCCUCAGAUCACGCCAAUAAUCGGAGGACCCUUCAUUGUUGAGUGUUAUGCCUCUAACGAUGUGUGUGGUGGAGAGGGGCUGUCGGCUUCACCUUACCAGGCUGGGUUCUGUGUGGUUGGCACUGAAACAAGCAUUGUUCGCCUCAAUUUCUCUUCUUUUUCCCAGUAGCCUAUUAAACCUCUUUGUUAAGAGACCCAGCUGCUUGUUUUCUAUCAAGAUAAUGACUGAAAAAUGCGCUUUAAAAAAAUCAUGGGGAACAUGAUUUCUGGAAGGUCUGCGUCCUCUUUCCUUUUGCUGUCAUCUGGCUGAUGAUGACUUUCAAUAAUCCUGGGAUAAUAAAAAUUCAUUUGAGCUUGUAGACCAAAUAUGGAGCUUAAAUUACCACAGAAACCAGGGACCACUGCCCUUCUUCUCACCUUAACAGAGAUUCUUCUUUCCUUCCCUGAUAUUCUUUUUUUAAAAAUCGAGGUAUAAUUUACAUACAAUAGUAUGUGCAGAUUUUAAGUAUACGGUUUGCUGAGUUUUGACAAAUGUUUAGUCCCAUGUAAGUAGCAUCCCAACUAAGAUAUAGACUAUUUCCAUUACCCCAGAAAGUUUCUCCAUUCCCUGUCCCUGUCUACCCCCUCUCCAGGAAGGAACCACUGUGUGGAUUGUCACCACCAUAGAUUAGUUUUGCCUGCUUUUGUACUUUUCAUAAAUAGAGUCACGCAGUAUGUACUCUUUUAGGUCUGG